UUGCAGCUGAGUGCUGUUGCUGCCAGGAUCGUAGCUCCAAGAGUUUGAAGGAUCAGGAGACUUUUGCAUGCAGGUUAUGGAGCUAAAGGAGUGAAUUCUGUGGGCAGGGAGGGCUUUGAAGGAUUGAUACAAAAAGCAUAUUAAUGGAAUAACACAUACUGACUGGAGAGAGAAACCCCAGCAAACUGGAAUGAUCCUGAGGCAACAAUAACAGGUGGAAGGCAUGGGCUUGAGUGGUCAAGAUUCAACAAACAGACAUGCUUGAACAGCCCCUCUCAGAAGGGAAGAUCAGGACCCACAGAAAGCUAGCAGCUAUGGCUGUAAUUAAGAAGACAUCUGUAAACAACAACAAAAUGUCACCUGCCUGCCAAAGGCAGCAAUCCUGAACUGUUUAGCUGGUGAGUGGCACCACAACCUUCAACAUCAACAGAGAUCACUAUUGCUCAGAGUAAGUGGCACUCUAUUUUCAACUACAUUUACAUUAUAAUCCUAUGCACAAAAAAGGUAUCUCCAUAGGGCAGGUUCACACAAUCAGAAUUGAUGCCCAUUUACCAGGGUUUGGAAUUUCCAGUGGGCAUGUGCUCCUGCAAAGCAUGUUGUGUGGGCAGCAAAAAAAACCCUCCCAAUCCUGGGUUGGCAGUGUGCCAAUCAGACAUAUUACUGGGAUUGGUAAGCUUAGAUCAAAACUUGGCUGAUCCAAGUUAAAUGUCGGCUGGCAUGGUGCCAACCUGGGAUCAGGAGGUCUUUUGCUGCCCACACAUGUUUUGUGAGAAUGUGUACCCACUGAGAAUCCUAGAUACCUGGUAAACAGAUAUUGAUUCAGAUUGUGUGAACCAGCCCAUAUAUUACAAUUGUUAAUCAAAACGCCCAUGUUCCCUGCAUCAGACUUUAACGCGGAGACAUCAUACUAGCACCUAUGUUCACACAUCUGGGACAGCUGGCUGGGCCAGGGUCCUAAGAUGCAUAAACAUGGGUAUUCAAAGUUGCAUGUACACACAUGUUACAUGUUUGCUGAGGGAAACACUGGGAGUAACACUAGCAUUCCCCACAGCAAUGUGUGGAUGGCCAUUAUACUUUGAAAUCCCACUCAAUGCAGCGGAACAUGUGUCUGAUAAACAUGCAGAGAAUCAGGCUGACAAUAAAUAACGUAUUGGCAAGAUGUGUGCUGGCUAUAAUACUUCUAAAGUGGUUUCUUGGAUUUUCCUUCUCUAUUUUAGGAUCCUUGAGCAACUCUGUGCAACCUCACAUCAUAACAUUAUCUUUGCUUUAAAAAACGUGGAUCUCAAUUUGUCCAUCCAUGUGUAUUUAAGGUGUGUGUGCGUGCAAACCCCACCAAUAGAAAACUCAAAACCAAGUGCAAAUUUAGAGAGAGAGAGAGAGAGAGGGGGGGGGGGGGGAGAGAGAGAUUCAUCUCCUCUAAAUGUCUAAUCUGGAAUAGGGAUUUCAGGGCAGGAAAAUGUAGUGUAGGGAGAGUUAGGGAGACAAAACCUUGAAGACAAGAGGAGUGGAAGAAAGAAAGGUGGGUGGGGGGAAGAGGGGAGCCUUUGCUUGACAAAAGCUGUCAAUUACCAGCGUCUGGCGUGGAACGUGUUUGCUUUUGUCCCCCCCCAGACAUCUGCUGCGUGCUGCCUCCUGCCAGUUGGCCAGUGCGGGCCAGGAGAAUGCUGUGAAAGCCAUCCGAUGCGCCUGCCCUCUGAUGCACUAUUCAAGUCUGUCGUGUUCUUUCUGCCCCCAAACAAUGAGCCGGCGGGACAUGGAGCUGAAUGAGCAAUGGGUUUAAUAAAAGGGAACCUCAAACAAAACGCAGCGGGGAGAGAGGGGUGGUGACGGCACUUGAGGACACAGCUGAAAAGAAACAUGCUUCGCCCCCAUGAACAUAUUCUUAAGCAUGCUGGGGUUUGUCUUCUUAGGUAUCGGAUCACAAAAGGUCUCUCAGUCCUUCUCUGGUUGCUGUAGCUUAGUUCCUUUCCCAAUCCUUUUCUUUUCUUUUUUUAAAUUAAAGUGCAUGUCUUCCUCGUG
Molecule: long non-coding RNA, 2019 nt
Organism: Hemicordylus capensis (graceful crag lizard)
Lineage: Eukaryota; Metazoa; Chordata; Lepidosauria; Squamata; Cordylidae
Exons: 4
Source: RefSeq, a predicted model, not a curated record